UACAGAGGGUGCGAGCGUUAAUCGGAAUUACUGGGCGUAAAGGGCGCGUAGGCGGUCAGACAAGUGAGAUGUGAAAUCCCCGGGCUUAACCUGGGAACUGCAUCUUAAACUGUCUGGCUGGAGUACUGUAGAGGAUAGUGGAAUUUCCGGUGUAGCGGUGAAAUGCGUAGAGAUCGGAAGGAACAUCAGUGGCGAAGGCGGCUCACUGGCCCGGUACUGACGCUGAGGUGCGAAAGCGUGGGGAGCAAACAGG
RNAcentral lists this ribosomal RNA (253 nucleotides) under uncultured bacterium. RNAcentral describes it as "partial 16S ribosomal RNA". It matches the Rfam family "Bacterial small subunit ribosomal RNA", at positions 524 to 776 of the family's 1533-position model. The record is from RNAcentral.